CCUACGGGGGGCAGCAGUGAGGAAUAUUGGUCAAUGGACGAGAGUCUGAACCAGCCAAGUAGCGUGAAGGAUGACUGCCCUAUGGGUUGUAAACUUCUUUUAUAUGGGAAUAAAAUGUUACACGUGUGGGAUUUUGUAUGUACCAUAUGAAUAAGGAUCGGCUAACUCCGUGCCAGCAGCCGCGGUAAUACGGAGGAUCCGAGCGUUAUCCGGAUUUAUUGGGUUUAAAGGGAGCGUAGGUGGAUUGUUAAGUCAGUUGUGAAAGUUUGCGGCUCAACCGUAAAAUUGCAGUUGAAACUGGCAGUCUUGAGUACAGUAGAGGUGGGCGGAAUGCGUGGUGUAGCGGUGAAAUGCUUAGAUAUCACGAAGAACUCCGAUUGCGAAGGCAGUUCACUGGACUGCAACUGACACUGAGGCUCGAAAGUGUGGGUAUCAAACAGGAUUAGAUACCCCUGUAGUC
This 460-nucleotide ribosomal RNA is filed under the name uncultured bacterium. RNAcentral's name for it is "partial 16S ribosomal RNA". It matches the Rfam family "Bacterial small subunit ribosomal RNA", at positions 338 to 795 of the family's 1533-position model. The record is from RNAcentral.